AAAGCGUAUAUUAAAGUUGUUGCGGUUAAAAAGCUCGUAGUCGAACUUGUGUUUCGUGCCGUCGGUUCAUCGCUCGCGGUGUUAUACUGACGUGUCACGAAACGUCAUGCCGGUGGGCUGGCUCGCAAGGGCGGCCCCACCUUAUAACCCGUCGCGGUGCUCUUCAUUGAGUGUCGAGGCGGGCCGGCAAUUUUACUUUGAACAAAUUAGAGUGCUUAAAGCAGGCUAAAACUUUGCCUGAAUAUUAUGUGCAUGGAAUAAUGAAAUAGGACCUCGGUUCUAUUUUGUUGGUUUCCAGAACCCCGAGGUAAUGAUAAAUAGGAACGGAUGGGGGCAUUCGUAUUGCGACGUUAGAGGUGAAAUUCUUGGAUCGUCGCAAGACUGACAUAAG
RNAcentral lists this ribosomal RNA (391 nucleotides) under uncultured eukaryote. RNAcentral's name for it is "SSU rRNA". It matches the Rfam family "Eukaryotic small subunit ribosomal RNA", at positions 594 to 945 of the family's 1831-position model. The record is from RNAcentral.